Molecule: ribosomal RNA, 405 nt
Filed under: uncultured bacterium
Lineage: Bacteria
Description: bacterial SSU rRNA
Rfam family: Bacterial small subunit ribosomal RNA
Source: RNAcentral
AGAGUUUGAUCCUGGCUCAGAAUCAACGCUGGCGGCGCGCUUAACACAUGCAAGUCGCACGAGAAAGCGGGGGCAACCUCGUAAGUAAAGUGGCGUACAGGUGAGUAACACGUGGGUAAUCUACCUCUGGGUGUGGAAUAACGCUGGGAAACCGGCGCUAAUACCGCAUAAGCUCGGGAGAGGAAAGCAGCAAUGCGCCGAGAGAGGAGCCCGCGGCCGAUUAGCUAGUUGGUGAGGUAACGGCCCACCAAGGCUUAGAUCGGUAGCCGGCCUGAGAGGGCACACGGCCACACUGGCACUGAAACACGGGCCAGACUCCUACGGGAGGCAGCAGUGGGGAAUCUUGCACAAUGGGGGCAACCCUGAUGCAGCGACGCCGCGUGAGCGAUGAAGCCCUUCGGGGUG